Molecule: long non-coding RNA, 286 nt
Organism: Bombus pascuorum
Lineage: Eukaryota; Metazoa; Arthropoda; Insecta; Hymenoptera; Apidae
Exons: 2
Source: RefSeq, a predicted model, not a curated record
UUGUAUGAUAAUUUAUAAAGCAUUCACUAAGAUGUAUUCUUGAAUAUAAUUGAUUUCAUUCUUCAACAGUUCAAAAUCAAGUUCAUCUUCAUUUGAGUUAAUUCCACUUCCAAAAACCAUUUUUUUAGGGAGGGGUUUCUAAACUGUAAUACUUCUGCCAUGAUCGUCGAAUCUGAAAUAACGUUGAAGACGUUGUCAGAACCAUAGUUUCGGAGGGAUAUGGGAUUAAAUAUUUCAUCUCCAUUUUAAAGUCUAACACUUUACACUUCCUAACAAAGAACAGAAA